This 490-nucleotide ribosomal RNA is filed under the name uncultured bacterium. Its description in RNAcentral is "partial 16S ribosomal RNA". It matches the Rfam family "Bacterial small subunit ribosomal RNA", at positions 28 to 507 of the family's 1533-position model. The record is from RNAcentral.
GAUGAACGCUAGCGAUAGGCUUAACACAUGCAAGUCGAGGGGCAGCAUGGUCUUAGCUUGCUAAGGCUGAUGGCGACCGGCGCACGGGUGCGUAACGCGUAUGCAACUUGCCUCACAGAGGGGGAUAACCCGUCGAAAGACGGACUAAUACCGCGUACACUCUAUGUUGGGCAUCCAAUGUAGAGGAAAUGAAAUUCGCUGUGAGAUAGGCAUGCGUCCCAUUAGCUAGUUGGUGAGGUAACGGCUCACCAAGGCGACGAUGGGUAGGGGAACUGAGAGGUUGAACCCCCACACUGGUACUGAGACACGGACCAGACUCCUACGGGAGGCAGCAGUGAGGAAUAUUGGUCAAUGAGCGAGAGCCUGAACCAGCCAAGUCGCGUGAAGGAUGACUGUCUUAUGGAUUGUAAACUUCUUUUAUACGGGAAUAACAAGAGUCACGUGUGGCUCCCUGCAUGUACCGUAUGAAUAAGCAUCGGCUAACUCCGUG